RNAcentral lists this long non-coding RNA (895 nucleotides) under Acyrthosiphon pisum (pea aphid). Its description in RNAcentral is "uncharacterized LOC107884367". The record is from RNAcentral. Lineage: Eukaryota; Metazoa; Arthropoda; Insecta; Hemiptera; Aphididae.
AAGUUGUAAUGCGACAAACGCGUUUCGUUUGUUAUUAUCGGUAAUUACUAAUUACCUACAUAAUAUUCAAAAACAAGCAAUAAUUAAAUAAUUUUACUUUAUCAUUUUUUUCCUAUCUCCGUACCUAUAGUUUAUUUGUGAAUUUUAAUUAAGAAACGUCACGUAAAAUUAUUACGAGCGUCGAGCACCCCACCAUUGUCGGGUCGUAAUCGCGAUAGCCGACGUUUGUUUUGUUAUUUUUUCUCUUCUCUCUGUCAGUAGCCAAAGCUAAACACACACAGAACCACUGACACGUUUUUUGUGUUGCGUACGUUUUUCUUUCGUCUAUUUAUUAUUGUUUUCUCGUGAAGUUGCCACAAAAAAAUGGAGUCGUCACUUGGAAACACUUUCCCGUGCUAGUGAGCGCUGCCGGACAAGCUAAGCCAUCUAAGGUGGUCGGUCACGACAGACAUCCCGAAUCCAUUAUACACAACAACAAAAAAGGUACCAGUAUAGCAAGCGACACAAAAUUAGUCAAAUUGAUAACAUAUAAAAAAACACUAACUGUUAUAUCAAGUAAAAAACAUUUAAUUUGGAUUCAAAAUACAAUAGAAAAAAAAAAUAUACACGGUUUAAAAAGAACUAGAUGUCAUUGUUAAAGGUGUCAAUGUAGAAUACAACAUAACCGCUUGUACUAAGCUUCCAAACCAAUAAAAACAGUAGAUUGAAAAUUCUAAAAAAAAAUGUUGGAUUCAAAUACCAAGGUAUACUGAAGCAUGCAACAUACUUUUAAUGGAACAAAUCGUCUCCAUUAAAUGUUUAUGAAGUGCAGUUCUUAGCCAUAAUACUAAACUCAAUAAAUGUAUUAUAACGGAUAUUAAUGUUAUGGAAUCCCUAUAAAUGCCAACGUGUUCCC